Molecule: ribosomal RNA, 425 nt
Filed under: uncultured bacterium
Lineage: Bacteria
Description: bacterial SSU rRNA
Rfam family: Bacterial small subunit ribosomal RNA
Source: RNAcentral
UGGGGAAUAUUGCGCAAUGGGCGAAAGCCUGACGCAGCGACGCCGCGUGGGGGAUGACGGCCUCGGGUUGUAAACCUCUUUCGACCGGGACGAAGCGAGAGUGACGGUACCGGUAAAAGAAGCACCGGCCAACUACGUGCCAGCAGCCGCGGUAACACGUAGGGUGCGAGCGUUGUCCGGAAUUAUUGGGCGUAAAGAGCUCGUAGGCGGUGUGUCGCGUCGGCCGUGAAAACUUACAGCUUAACUGUGAGCGUGCGGUCGAUACGGGCAUCACUUGAGUUCGGCAGGGGAGACUGGAAUUCCUGGUGUAGCGGUGAAAUGCGCAGAUAUCAGGAGGAACACCGGUGGCGAAGGCGGGUCUCUGGGCCGAUACUGACGCUGAGGAGCGAAAGCGUGGGGAGCGAACAGGAUUAGAUACCCCAGUA